UACGUAGGGGGCAAGCGUUGUCCGGAAUCAUUGGGCGUAAAGAGCGCGUAGGCGGCCCUGUAAGUCCGCUGUGAAAGUCAAGGGCUCAACCCUUGGAUGCCGGUGGAUACUGCAGGGCUAGAGUCCGGAAGAGGCGAGUGGAAUUCCUGGUGUAGCGGUGAAAUGCGCAGAUAUCAGGAGGAACACCGAUGGCGAAGGCAGCUCGCUGGGACGGUACUGACGCUGAGGAGCGAAAGCGUGGGGAGCGAACAGG
RNAcentral lists this ribosomal RNA (253 nucleotides) under uncultured bacterium. RNAcentral describes it as "partial 16S ribosomal RNA". It matches the Rfam family "Bacterial small subunit ribosomal RNA", at positions 524 to 776 of the family's 1533-position model. The record is from RNAcentral.